This is a long non-coding RNA of Manis pentadactyla (Chinese pangolin), 4547 nucleotides long. RefSeq lists it as uncharacterized. Lineage: Eukaryota; Metazoa; Chordata; Mammalia; Pholidota; Manidae. The transcript is spliced from 4 exons. The record is from RefSeq and is a predicted model, not a curated record.
GCCCCAGGUUGCUUUUUGAUUGGCUACGUAAGUAAUCUAUCAGGAUUACGCAAGCGAGGGGUGGCUCUUUGGGGAGGAAGUGAAGAUUAUUUUGGUGCCUCCUAUCCCAACACGAUUGGUUGAGAUUUACCGUGAUGUAAAACGAGGCGUAAAAAUGUCCACUAAAGGAAAGGGCCUAUUGGCCCUUUUCUGAGGGACGAAGUCUAGGGUGGAACUGGGAAGGCCCAGCCGGACUCUGUUAUUGUAAGGAAGGACCAGAUUAAUAGAAACCCGGAAAUGAGUUUUGAAGGGAAUUGAAGGAAAAAGAGGGAAAUCCGCGGCACCUUCGUUGCCCUCAAACAAGGUCAUUUCCUGCAUGGGAUCGAUAAUUUCCUGUUUUACAGCGAAGUCAGCCAGCCCUGGCUCUCCGGAUUACAUGUGAGUAGCAGUUUCUUGGUUUGGGAGCACAUCAGUCAAGGCUGCUUGUUUUGCUUUCAAGUUUUGGUAGGGGUCUUUUUCCAGAGGCCCUCACCCUACUCUGACUAUUCCCACGGUCCCUGUCUCACUUGGAUCACAGUAUCGAAAUGAGCUCCUAAAGAAACCGUUCAUAUUUGGAGAGGGUGGGUGGAGGUGAAGAGAACUGUAAAGAUUUAUCAAGUUAAUGACGUACAGAAACUGGCCAAAGCAGAAAUUGCCUCUGAGGGGACCUAGAACCCAGAACUAAGGAAGAAAACACUCAUUGUUCCUAAUCACAGAUCCAUGCCCUCCAGCAUGUCAAGAGAAACCAAUGGCAUCUUGAUUGGUGAGAACAUGAGAAGCUCUGUGCCAUAGAAUCUUGAGCCUAAGGAAAAUCUUCACCCUCCUAGGGCCUAACUGCACCCUCCUUCCAAAUCCCCCGCUGUGAAACACAGUUAUCUGGAGUUUCUUUCCUCUCUGGAGGCCCAAGGAACAGCUACAAGGCCUCAGAAGACCAAGAUGAAAGUACCGGGUUAUACCACGUUUGGAAUUUACGGAAAGAGAAGAAAAGGGAAGACCGGGAUAUGGGGGAGCUGGUAGAGGCACAGAAGGGACACUGACUGUUGCUCAGUCAGGUAUUCUAUCUGUCUGGGUUGAUUGCAGUAACAGAAACUAUUUUAAGCAGAAAAGACCUGAAUACAGGGACACAGGUGCUUACAAAAUUGUCCCAAGAAUGAACUACUAAACUCACUCACCAGAGAAGCUCCAGAAAGGGGAAGAAUCAAGACUGUAUCACUGAAUUGAAAGACUAAACAACAAAUGCUGGCGAGGAUGUGGAGAAAGGGGAACCCUCCUACACUGCUGGUGGGAAUGUAAGCUAGUUCAACCAUUGUGGAAAGCAGUGUGGAGGUUCCUCAAAAAACUACAAAUAGAAAUACCAUUUGACCUGGGAAUCCCACACCUUGGAAUUUACCCAAAGAAUACAACUUCUCAGAUUCAAAAAGACAUAUGCACCCCUAUGUUUAUUGCAGCACUAUUUACAAUAGCCGAGAUAUGGAAGCAACCUAAGUAUCCAUCAGUAGAUGAAUGGGUAAAGAAGAGGUGGUACAUAUACACAAUGCAAUACUAUUCAGCCAUAAGAAAGAAACAAAUCCUACCAUUUGCAACAACAUGGAUGGAGCUGGGAGAUAUUAUGAUCAGUGAAAUAAGCCAGGCAGAGAAAGACAAGUGUCAAAUCAUUUCCCUCAUUUGUGGAAUAUAACAACGAAGCAAAACUGAAGAAACAAAAUAGCAGCAGACUCAGAGAUUCCAAGAAGGGACUAGUGGUUACCAAAGUGGGGGGUGUGGGAAGGUGGGUGGAUAGGAAGGGCGAAAGGGAUUGAGGGGUAUUAUGUUUAGUACACAUGGUGUGGGGAGUCACCAGGAAAACAGUGUAGCACAGAGAAGGCAAACAGUGAAUCUGUGGCAUCUUACUACACUGAUGGACAGUGACUGCAUUGGGGUAUUGGUGGGGACUAGAUAAUAUGGGUAAAUGUAGUAACCACAUUGUUUUUUCAUGUGAAACCUUCAUAAGAGUGUAUAUCAAUAAUACCUUAAUAAAAAAUUUAAAGAAAAAAGACUGUAUCACUGAAAUUGUUGAGUUCACAUACCCUGGUUGCCAUCCAGGAAUCCAGAAGCUCCUGUUGCUGACACUGCCACAGCAGCCUUCAGGAGCCACAAAGCUAGAGAAUGGAUGCUGGAACAUGGCUGCAGAAACCCCAAUGUCCCAUGACCACACUGGCCAGCAGCCAAAACAGUCAGCAGAUGACCCUUGCCUCAAUUCUACUUUUUAAGUCUCUUGGGUGUGCAAAUUAAUAAUAGAUCUAAAUUUACACCUAGAAUCCUAGCUGCCAGAGAGCCUGGGAAAUAAAGAGUUCUUAAAGUUUUCUAGCCACUGCAGUAUAGGAAGGCAUAUAAAAAGGAGAUAAAAGGUGGGUCACCCACAUCCAUCUCAGGUACGUAUGUGUCUACGUUUAAAAAUUUCCUUGGUAAUAAGUAAAAUGGAAGGAUUCUGAGCUGAAGUAGCACAAGAAUGAAGCAAAGUCUGUUUCCGGCUUUUUCCUUUUAUAAACCAAAAGGGUCAUAAGAGGGAGCAGACUUUUUUUUUUAAUAAAGUAUCGUUGAUAAAGUUUUUUUUAAUAAAGUAUCAAAGUAAUCUUAUGAAGGUUUCAAAUACACAAUACAGUGGUUCAGCAUUCACCCAUAUUACCAAGUCCUCACCCCCUCCAGUGUGUUCACUGUCCAUCAACGUAGUAAGAUAUUACAGAAUCAUUAACUGUAUUCUCCAUGCUGUUCUACCAUCCCUGUGACCAUCCUAUGUUGUGAUUGCUAAUUAUUGUGCCCCUUAAUACUCUUCUCUCCCAGCAACCUUCCCCAACCCCUCCCCUUUGGUAACUGUUAGUCCCUUCUAGGAAUCUGUGAGUCUGCUGCUAAUAUCCUUCAGUUUUACUUUGUUUUUAUACUCCACAAGUAAGUGAAAUCAUUUGGUAUUUGUCUGUCUCCACCUGGCUUAUUUCAGCAUAAUAGAGGGAGCAGACUUUUUAUAUUGUCACAUAAGGACAUCACCAACUAUCACCUACCAGAACCAUAAUUUGGUAAAAGAAUUAACAUUUUUAACUCCAAAAAAGUAGGAAGGUUAUACUCUCAGGAUUUAAGAACUGGAUAAAUGUAACUUCAGGAAAAAUACUACUUUGUCCUUUCCUUUCUCAGUGAACACUUUGUUCCAAUGUAGCCAGCCUGUGACACCCCUGAAGUACUGUAAGGUCACUGUCCAGCCCUGCUUAAGAGUUGCUGAAUAACCAUGGACAAGUCACUUUACCACUGGGCCUUCAUUUACUGCUAACUAGAAUGAGUUAAAAAAAUGAUAACAUUUAAGAAAGAAUGAAAGUGGAAGAAGGUUUCUAAAAGGCAUAUAUAAUAAGAAAAAAGUUAAAAAUAAGAAAAGCAUUAGAUUAGUAGGCCUCUUAUUGCCUCACAGUUCUAAAAGUCUGUUAUUUACUUUAUUUUUUUUAUCUUCUGGACUCCUAAAAAUCUUUAUGUAGACUUCAGCUUGUAAAUUCCUCUUAUUAUACCUACUCAUCCCCUUCAGUGACCCAGAUUUAAAAAGAAACGCACAAUGUUUUUUUGGUUGUGUCUCUCCUUUUGUUCAAAAACAUUCUAUGGCAACAACUGUCAAUAAAAUCCAAACUAUUCAGUUUUGCGUUCAACGUGCUCCUCAACCUAAUCCUAGCCUGUGUUUCCCACAAUUCCCUUCUCCCCCGCCCCCACCAAAUAGCUGGCGUCACCUCAAUAGGUGCCUUCCUUCCUUUCUUUCUUUAAAAAUUUUUUUUUCUGCCUUGGUUUUUCAGUCACCUUCAUCUUCAUCUCCCUGCUAUUGAGCCCAUAGUAGAGGGUCAGUCAGAAGGAUCUAUUAGAAUUGCAUCACUGAAAGACAACUUUAUUUCUGUUAACAUUUUCCCCCAUUUCAUUGCAAAAAAUACUGAGUUUACUGAACAUCUUCUAUGUGCCAGGCUUUGUGUUAGAAACUUCAACGAGUUCAAAGAUGAAUCAUAUCUGGCCCCUGCUAGAGUGACCCAGGUUGUCCAGGCCUUUCUUGGAUUUAGCCCUAAAGUCCCCUGUCCUGGGAAAACUAAAAUAAUUGAUCCUCUUAGUCCCUGACCACAAGAAAUCAUGAGGAUCUUAAGAUCCUAACUCAGAAACUCUGCCUAACAGCAUAUUCUUUUCUUCAACUUUCUUCUAAAGUGAUUAUUUUGAAUUUCUCUAGCAAUUAGCAUAGCAUCAAAGACUAUUCCUAAUCAAUGACUUUCAUGUUUGUACCAUCUCCUAGAUUAUGAGUUCCUGGAAGGCUGAGACAUCUUUCCAGGAAUCCGCAGUGCUUACUAAUGCCUUAUAUAUAGUGAUUAUAAAAUGAAUGUAUGUUGAAUUGAAUAGAGGAGAAUUUGGACAAAUGAAUACUUCAGGCCUUUUUUUUUCUUAAUUCAAAACCUUUUAAAAUAAAACACAUGGAAAUAUAUUUAGUUGGAUGAUUGUUUUCAGAAAGUUAACAGCACUUAGACCACUUACAGAACAUACCC